RNAcentral lists this ribosomal RNA (786 nucleotides) under uncultured archaeon. RNAcentral describes it as "bacterial SSU rRNA". It matches the Rfam family "Archaeal small subunit ribosomal RNA", at positions 14 to 773 of the family's 1478-position model. The record is from RNAcentral.
CUGCCGGACCCCACUGCUAUCGGGAUAGGACUAAGACAUGCUAGUUGAGCGCUUCCAGCCAAAACGGGAGCGCAGCGCACAGCUCAGUAACACGUGGCUAAUCUGCCCUUGGGACCGGAACACCCCCGGGAAACUGGGGCUAAUUCUCGAUAGGUGAAGAACUCUGGAAUGAGUCUUUGCCAAAAAGACGUUUACGUUAUGCUCGUAGGCGUCGUCCAAGGAUGAGGCCGCGACCGAUCAGGUUGUUGGUGAGGUAAUGGCUCACCAAGCCUUUUACCGGUGCGGGCCGUGAGAGCGGGAGCCCGGAGAUGGGCACUGAGACAAGGGCCCAGGCCCUACGGGGCGCAGCAGUCGCGAAAACUUUGCAAUACACGAAAGUGUGACAGGGCUAUCCCGAGUGCCAUCCGCUGAGGAAGGCUUUUACCCAGUCUAGAACGCUGGGGGAAUAAGGAGAGGGCAAGUCUGGUGUCAGCCGCCGCGGUAAUACCAGCUCUCCGAGUGGUGUGGAUGUUUAUUGGGCCUAAAGCAUCCGUAGCUGGCUGAGUUAGUCCCUUGUUAAAUCCACCGAAUUAAUCGUUGGAUUGCGGGGGGAUACUGCUCGGCUAGGGGACGAGAGAGGCAGACGGUAUUUCUGGGGUAGGGGUGAAAUCCUAUAAUCCCAGGAGGACCACCAGUGGCGAAAGCUGUCUGCUAGAACGCGCCCGACGGUGAGGGAUGAAAGCUGGGGGAGCGAACCCGGAUUAGAUACCCCGGGUAGUCCCAGCUGUAAACGAUGCAGACUAGUGU